RNAcentral lists this ribosomal RNA (253 nucleotides) under uncultured bacterium. RNAcentral describes it as "partial 16S ribosomal RNA". It matches the Rfam family "Bacterial small subunit ribosomal RNA", at positions 524 to 776 of the family's 1533-position model. The record is from RNAcentral.
UACGGAGGGAGCUAGCGUUGUUCGGAAUUACUGGGCGUAAAGCGCACGUAGGCGGCUAUUCAAGUCGGGGGUGAAAGCCCGGGGCUCAACCCCGGAACUGCCCUCGAAACUAGGUAGCUAGAAUCUUGGAGAGGCGAGUGGAAUUCCGAGUGUAGAGGUGAAAUUCGUAGAUAUUCGGAAGAACACCAGUGGCGAAGGCGACUCGCUGGACAAGUAUUGACGCUGAGGUGCGAAAGCGUGGGGAGCGAACAGG